Molecule: transfer RNA, 77 nt
Filed under: Holophagales bacterium
Lineage: Bacteria; Pseudomonadati; Acidobacteriota; Holophagae; Holophagales
Description: tRNA-Asn
Rfam family: tRNA
About the family: Transfer RNA (tRNA) molecules are approximately 80 nucleotides in length.
Source: RNAcentral
UCCGGAGUAGCUCAGUCGGUUAGAGCGCAUGACUGUUAAUCAUGAUGUCGUCGGUUCGAGUCCGACCUCCGGAGCCA